GACGAACGCUGGCGGCGUGCUUAACACAUGCAAGUCGAACGGAAAGGCCCUGCUUUUGUGGGGUGCUCGAGUGGCGAACGGGUGAGUAACACGUGAGUAACCUGCCCUUGACUUUGGGAUAACUUCAGGAAACUGGGGCUAAUACCGGAUAGGAGCUCCUGCUGCAUGGUGGGGGUUGGAAAGUUUCGGCGGUUGGGGAUGGACUCGCGGCUUAUCAGCUUGUUGGUGGGGUAGUGGCUUACCAAGGCUUUGACGGGUAGCCGGCCAGAGAGGGUGACCGGCCACAUUGGGACUGAGAUACGGCCCAGACUCCUACGGGAGGCAGCAGUGGGGAAUAUUGCACAAUGGGCGGAAGCCUGAUGCAGCAACGCCGCGUGCGGGAUGACGGCCUUCGGGUUGUAAACCGCUUUCGCCUGUGACGAAGCGUGAGUGACGGUAAUGGGUAAAGAAGCACCGGCUAACUACGUG
RNAcentral lists this ribosomal RNA (468 nucleotides) under uncultured bacterium. RNAcentral describes it as "partial 16S ribosomal RNA". It matches the Rfam family "Bacterial small subunit ribosomal RNA", at positions 28 to 507 of the family's 1533-position model. The record is from RNAcentral.